GGCGGUCAGGUUUCCUUUUGACAAAUCACUCCCUGCUGGCUUCCCCAAUUGCUCUGCUGACUGUGUAAAAUCUAAUAUGUCAUCAACAACCUGGAAGGAUAAACCGAGGUUCUUGCCAUAUUGAUACAUAUGCUCACAAACAUCACUAUCAACCCCACUAAAAAUGGCAGCUCCUUUUGUGCUAGCAGCAAUUAAAGAAGCUGUUUUAUAGUAGCUCUUGAUCAAAUACUCAUCAAGUUCAACAUCACAGUCAAACAAGCUGGACGCCUGCUUUAUUUCACCACUAGCAAAAUCUUUAAUAACCUGCAAUCAUUAUCAACGAUUAUACAAAUGUGCAUUAGGGUUAUAUUUACUUCAUCAUUUAAUUCAAAGACAAGAUCAGGAUUAAACAAGGCAUGUAUACAUACUUGGCUGAUGAGUUUGAUGACUUCAAGGUUUUCAAGAUUAGCCAGGUACCAUGAUGACUGUGCAAACAUGAAAUCCCCUGCCAAUACAGCAACUCGGGUACCAUAAAGUUGAUGAACGGUUUCUUGUCCUGCAUACAAACAACUUGAGAUUCUUAGUAAAGAUCAUUCGUCAGUCGCUAAGGAACCAUAAUGAUUAAAAAGUCGAAACCUUCGUAGGUCGUGGCUUACCUCUCCGCAUAUCACUUUCGUCAAGUACAUCGUCAUGUAUUAAGCUUGCCGUAUGGAUCAUUUCAAUGAUCUCUGCUAAGCGUCUAUGCUCUUUGGUAAGUUCCCUAAAUUUCAAACAAUUUGUUAUCAAUACUGAUGCCGAGUUAGUUCUUUAUACCAGUGAUUAUGCAAAUAAGAUAGUCCACUAUAACUUACUUCAAGCCUACAAAUUCUGCCGUGGCUCUUGACACUAGGAACACCAGAGCUGGUCUCAUCCUCUUUCCACCAGCACUAAAGAUCUGUUCAGCUGCUGACAUCAACACUGGAUUUUCUGCACCAACAAUCUAGCAGCUGAACUUCAUCAGAUACACAGCAUGUAUGGAGAUGUGGAAGAGAGCAAAAACAUAUUAAAGAAUCUUAUUGAAGAUUAAAAAUCAGUGUUAAAAGAGGCCCUUUUGCAUUGAAGGCAGAUGAAUGCAAUACAACAAUUUGUAGAGAUCAAGGAGUCCAGGUUUAGGUAAACAUAAUAUAUGUAUAGUAAAUAAAGGCAAGCUAUACUAGUCGUAAUUCAAUUGCUACUAAACUGUAACCUAACAUAUGAAAAUAGGACAGUGUUCUGUCAAAAAAGAACAGGAAUGCAUUAUCAACUGUUUACAGCCUAAACCACUAGAGUCAAUUGCAUGAAUAUAACGGUAAACAAUACCUUUGAUAUACCAUCAGGAAUUGUAACUACUUCUAGGACAACACUACUUUUUCUUUUUUUUGCUAAAUUAGUACAACACUUGCUCCAAGUUCAACCAAGUAUUAAACAAAGUCACCACAUGCGUAGAAAACAAAGAAGUUUUUCAUCCAUCCAAUAUCAAAAUUAAUGGAUGGCCAACUAGAAAUGCAAUAAUUUUAACUUGUAUUAAGUACUGUCCAGAAAAUUAUUCAAAUUAACCAAAGCUGCAAUCAGGUUUGUCUAUUUUCUCACACAACAAUUCAAAAUACUGGUUAUUUGCCUCACCACUACUCCAUCUUACAUUUUGCCAUACCAGUCACUCUCACUCACUAUUGCAGUUGCCAAUGCAUAAAAUUGCUCAGAAUUUACAGUUACAUUUCAUAAACCUAACAAAAUCAAACUGCACGUACAAUAGAGUCUUGAAAAGUAUUUAUUAGCUUCCACAAAGCACCUGGCUUUGACAGUUAUGAGUUAUCACAUAAAAUGUUUAAGUGUAAACUGCAAUGGUAAUACCACAGGACUACAAUUCAAGGCAUACAAAUACAAAAAAACAUUUAUCGCAUACUCACCGACUGUAAAUUGUUGUUCAAUACCAACAAGUCAUCAGCAACAAUUUCAAACAAAUUCUUCACUGAAACUGACUUCGAGUUUCUUGAUUCUGUUUUAAGCUCAAUUACUGGUGCAGGAACUGAUUCAGCAAAAACAAGACCAAACUCAAUCAAGACCACAACUUUAACAACUAAAAACAAUACAAACAAACAAACACAAUCCACAAAAUAGCAAUACCAUUCACAAAAGCCUCAGGGGUUUUGGUAGAAACAACUCUACAGCUACCAAAGUCCCUCCUGAAACACAGCCAUUUUCUAGCUCCAAACUCAUAUUUAACCCUCCUAAGCACACCCUUUGAAGAAUUCCUCACCAAAUAUGAAGCAUUUGAAGAACAGCCACAAGCCACAAAAUCUAAACCACUUCUUCCAAACUCCAGAUUAUGGCUUGUCAUUGACAACAUCUUGAGCAAAACCCAGUUUUUAAAAAGCCCAAAAAAGCUCUCUUUGAUCAAGAAAAUCAGACAACAGAUACAUACAAACACACCCACCAAGUGUAUGCAAGUAUAUAAACAAGAUGCAAGUGUUUAUGUCCUCAAGUUAAAAGCUUUAAGCUUAAGGAGAGAUGUGGCCUAAUAUAAAUAUACUAAGAAUAUGAGUGGAUUCAAAAUGCCCACAUAGGGAAUUUAUAAUUUUUGGGUUUUCGACAUUUGAUCAAGAAAUUUGAGGAGGGGAAAUACUGAUGUUUUUGACUUUCUUCCUCUGUAAAGGCCUUAUCCCUGGGUCAAAUUUCUUUUAUGUGAUCUGUAUUUUUUUGGUUUUUGAUUUAUUUUUGGUGGAUGAUUAGAAGCCAAGGAAAAGGUAUAUACCGGAGAACAGUGUAUAUAAUUGAUAUUUUGUACAUAAAAAGAAUCUUGAAUUUAAGAAUACUAGUUGAAAUAAUUAUUUACUUGUUUAUAUCCUUAAAAAAAAUUAUUUACUUGUUUAUAUAAUUUUUCUCGGAUUGUUUUUAUGAAAUAAAUAUUAGCUGUUUAAAUUUUAAUUGAUCUGUUAUUUAUGUUUUUAUGAAAAAAUUAUAUAUUUUUCUAAACACGGGAAAUAUAUGAAAUGGGAGAUUGUGUGAGGCCUGAAACUGGGCUUCAGAAUAAUAAACCAGAUAAAUCUAACUACAGUAGAAACUCUUUAAAUUAAUACUCGAUAAAUUAAUAAACUCUCUAAAAUAAUAAAUUUGUCCGGUCCCGACUUGGGCCAAUGUAAAAAAAUGAAAAACUCGAUAAAAUAAUAAGAUAAUAAUUUUUUGGGAGAUCCCUUUAUAAUUUUCGGUCCCAAGAAAAUCAUAAAUUAAUAAUUCACAGAAACUGAAAAAAAUAUAUUAUACUCUAUUGAAAUAUAUUACAUUUACUAUACAGUUCUUCAAAAGUCAUUAUUGAUUUCUUAUACAUUUGAACACAGUAGUUACUAAUUUACGUUGUCAAUAUUGAUUUCUAAUAAAUAUGAACAUAAUAGUUACUAAUUUACAUUGAGUCCCAAGGUUCGUUGUAAGUUAAUUCUAAGAGGCAUAAACUAAUUUGUCUUUUUGUUUGGUAUGUCGGGUGUAAUCGGUUAAAAACUCUUUAAAUUAAUAAUUAUUAAUUUAUUGAUAAAUUAAUAACUCUCUAAAUUAAUAAAUUUCUCCGGUCCCGACAUUAUUAAUUUAUAGAGUUUUUACUGUACACAAUAUCGGUUGACUGAGUGCAAAGUAGAGAUCUUUGAUCUUUAUUGUAGGAACAAAAUUUACCGGGUUUUUCUAGGUGAUCUGCAUAAUUUUAAUAAUAAUUCUUUGUGCUGAUUUUAGACCGUUGAUUUUAUACCAGAGCAAUGUUGGAGCUCUCAAAUUUCUAUUCAUCGUCCAUAUAUAUGAUAUUUAUCUUAUUUCUGUUUAUCAUCCAUAUAUUUCACAUUUACUUUUGUCAGGAUUUGCUUUUAUAAUUUUAAGAUCAUCUUCUCAGCAAUAUCCUCCAAGCUGACAGACCUGCCUUACAUGGCUUGGGCCAGAAAUCGGAUCUUGCAUAAAGACUAGUCGGGUCAAAAAUGGACAAAUGAAUCCAUUUAAUGAUAUGAAUGUUUUAUCGUCCGUCCCAAUUCUGUAUACAUUUUACUAUUUGAUACGUAUUUUAGUAAUUUUAUAAAAUAUCGUGUAAUUUCGUGUUCGUGUACUUUCAUGUUUCGUGUAUCAAAAAUCAAAACUCAUAUCCAUUUUUUUCGUGUCAUUUCGUUUCGAGUGUUCCGUGUCAAAGAUGCAGUCGAUGGAAAAGUAACAAGUACAAAGAUGCAGAGCAGAAUCAUGAAUCAAUUUUUUUUCCUGACCAAUAUCUCUCUGUCUAUGUAGAAAGUUGUAUGGGACCGACAUUUUACAAGUCUGUCAGUCACUAUGAACCAUUUCAAUUUCUUGUAAACGCAGGAAUGAAAAAAGAAAAAGAGCUUUGAUCUCAGCUGCCAAUCCCAUAUAUAUCAAGUAUAAAUCCACAAAGUGUGGCUUAUGGUAACAAGAAGAAGAAGAAACUUAAUCAUCUAAUCCGGCCAAUUGCAUUAGAAGAAUUUGUAAUCUAAAUAGGCCUUUCUACGCAGCUUCUCUGAUCACCAACUCCAUUCACUCAUAAACACAGCUACUAUAACCUGCAAAUCGAUUAGAGAAAAGACGAACAUUUCUGUCAUCAGCUGCGGUGCUAGGAAGUGAAAAAACAAAGGACUUUCGAAGAAGGGGAAUAUGGACUUACUUGGAUCCGUUAUGGUAACGAGACCAGAUCCCCCGAAAUGGCAGUUCCACUGGUUUCUUCCCUUGCACUGAUAAUACAGAUUCAUCACCACUGAGGCAUGGUUUAUGAGACUCUCUGGGGAGAAACAAGGACAACCCUUCUUUAUAAGGCUGCAGUCUACAUGUUCACAUGCAUAGUUGAUGUUGGCUUGCAGAGUGGCUUCGUCUGAUGAUGGCUUUGCCACACACCAUGUUCUCUGCACAACAAAAAUUGAUAAUUAGUACAUGUAUAUGCAUGUAUGUCGCGAAAUUCCUCUACGAUGAUUGAUACAUAUAAAUCCCUCUCUUGGAGCGUGACGAGAUAACCUAGUGAUAAAGGCUUAUUCUCUGAGUUCUUCAACGAUGAUUAGUACAUAAAAAUCCGUCUGUUGGAGGAUGGCGAGAUAAUCUAAGCUUAUUUGUGGGUUCCUCUACGAUGAUUAGUAUAUAAAAAUUUCUUUCGAGUGUGACAGGAUAAUCUAGUUAUAAAAAUUUAUUCUCUAUUGUCUCAGGUUCCCAGUUUGAUUCUGACCGAUCCCGAUCCCGAGAUUUACCAAAACUACGUAUAGUCAUAUAACCUACUUUUAAGAAAAAACUCUUUGUAGUAUAGAAAUUCUUGAAGUUACCUGUCCAUCAGCCGAUGUAAAAGUGAACGUACCAACUGCAAAAACAGAGUAUUUUAGAAAAACCAAGAAUUUCAAUUAUAUACACCAGAUAAACACAAGAACAAAAAAUGGUUACUGCAGAAUCAGCUUUUAGAUGUGGCCCUGAAAUAUAUGUGAUGUGAAUGUACCUGAGAUGAUGAAGAGGAGGAGAAGACAAAGAGAGAAUUGUGGUGCUUUUGCCAUUUUUUAUGCUACUGUUGAUCUGGGAAAUAGUACUAGUGAUAUUUUGGCUUGGGGAGAGGUAAGGUCUUUGAGGUUUUAUAUAUGGAGUGGUAAUAACGGCUAUAAUUACUAAUCAGCCGUUACAUGGAAAUUAAUGGCCUUUUGGUGGAAAUAAGGACAACGAAAGGAGCUGAGAAGGUUGCUUCUUGUGAGUUGUGAUGUGUUUUGAUGUGACUUCUCUCUUUUCUAAUUUUUUUGUACUGCUCAUUAUAAGAUGUAAUCAUAAUAUAUUUCAGAAUGAUAAGAUUAAUAAUAUAAUAUGGGUUUGUCUAGUGUGUGCCCAUGGGCACACAUUAUACACUAAAAUUGAUGGUUUUGGUGGAUUUUGAUUGGUGGACUUGACGUAAAUGCAGGGGGGCCAUCUUUACUUAUGAUUAGGUGACCAAUAACAAUGCACCAAACACAUAGGAGUUGGUGCUUAUUGUGUGCCCAUGGGCACACCAUAGAAAAACCGAUAUAAUAUUAUUAUUAUCGAUUAUCAAAGUCGGUAUGAUAUACGUCGAUUUUAGUGCUUUGAUUGGGGACCUGAAAAAUUAUAGAAUAAUUAUUUUUAUGAGUUGGAAUGAAUAAUUUAAUGGGAUUAAUGCUUGAGCAUCAAUCCCAACAUUUUCAAUUUAAUGAAUAUACGACAAAUAUUAGCUAAAAACUUUGAUUUUAAAUAUAUAUUAUCGGGAUUAUAGACAAUAAUAUAGGGUACAAUAAUAUUGAUUUAAAUAAUUCUUCUGGUUCAUGAAUUUAGUGAAGAUGACAUGAAUCCAUAUUCAAUGGCGGUGCCAGCUUUGAAAUAACAACUUGAUUCUUGUUCGUUGUUCCUACUUUAAAAAUAAAAAUAUAAAAAAGAUACAAUUACAAAUAGGUGAUCCCGAAACAAGAGCAAAGUAGCUUUACAGGAUAAAGUUUGGAGGGCCAUUGAGAUUGGCUGCAAGAUCUAAUAUUGUAGUGUUAUACACUUCUUCCUCAGCUCCAUGUGAGCUUGACACCUCAAAGUUGAGUUGGAUGCAAUUUUUAUAUAUGUCAAAGUCGAUUUUGGGAGACUAAAGAGUGAUUAUUACUUUAGGUGCAUGUGAGUAUGUAUGGUGACCAUGAGAAGGGCAGUUCAGGUUUUAGACGAGUUUAAUUUUUUGAAAUUUUAUAGAUUCACUUUAGGUUUUGUCUAAUCUUCAAGUUUUGGAAAAAAAGGUGAUAAAAAAUUGGAGUCAGCGUAAAAUCAAAUGGAGUGGAGAGAGGAGCUCAAAUAUCGGAGACCACACAAGCGCGGACCAAAUGGGCACAAUAUUAGGAUCCAGUAUACAGACCCAAGAGCGUUCGCUGAAUUUACAAAAUUCAGACAGAUCUGGGCCAAGCCCAAGCCCAAAUCCAAACCGACCACCAAAUCCAUUCAUCAAUGCGCUCUUCACACAAAAAGAAAAACCCCGUAUCAAAUAUGCAUAAAAGAAAAACCCAAAACAAUCCCAUUAGUAAGCCGGUAAGCCCACGCUUGUAGUUCUUAGAGCAUCUCCAACCACGUUGGCUAUAAUCGUUGGCUAAAUUAGACCUUUAAGAUAUUAUGUAAAAUUUGCUGAAUCUGUAAGAUAUUUUGCUACAAUGGUACCGACUAUAUUGGUUGGCUAUAAUUUAAAAAUAGUAUGUUAUUAAUAUUUUAAAUUGUUAAAAUAGAAUAUAUCAGUUCAAUAUGGUAAUAAAUGAUGUACAAUCUUCCUACAGAUUUUCUUACAGACCUGUAGAGGUUCGACAAAUUUAGCCAUCCAUAGAAGGUUGGCUAAAUUUAUAGACAACAGCUCAUCAUGGUUGGAGUUGAGUUUUUGGAGCUGUUGGCUAAAUCUUUUUAUUUUAAGUAUCUGAACUCACCUUUUAGACAAGGGUUUUAGAUGGUUGGAGAUGCUCUUACGUCAGCCCAUGCAAGUUGCUGUAAUACAGUUGCAUUUGCGUGUUCGAAAUACCUUUUUUUUACAUGUAAUUUUGCUUUUUAAAUGUUUCAAAAAUUCUUGAUUAGUUAAAAUUUCUGAUUAAUUUUGAAAAAUUAUUUUACUGAUCUUUAAAAUUUUUAAAAAUUUAUAUUACUGAUCUAUGAAUUACAUCUAAUUUACCAAAAAUAUUAAAAAAAUCUUCGAUAAAUCCCGAUUCAUUAAUUCAAAUGAUUAUUUAUUCCUAAUUUUUACGAAGUUUUUACACACGGACACACGGUUCGUAUUUUGAUCUUUAAGUCAAAACUGUUUUUGGGAAUAAUUUUGUUAUUAGUUAAAUUUAAAUCUCUACCGACUUCCCAGGAUGAAACCAGACUCAAAAUUCUGAGAUUCUUAUGAUUUAGCCAGGACAAUGCAGUAGCUUUUUCUUUCUAAACCCCCAGUGGAACUUGGAGUCAAAUAGUCAGUUUUCUUUGUUAAAACUUAAAAGUAAAGAGCCAAUCAAACAACCCAUCAUAUCAGCUCCAUUGGUGAUUUUCCUAUAGUUCUUGUAUAACAAAAAUCUCAAAAACAGAGCUUGAGAUUAAUCAUAGAUCAUGUUUUAUUUUCAAUUAAAAAAAUGUGAUAAAAUAAAUUCUGACCUUUUUCGGGUUUAAUUGAAGUACACGAACUGUUUUUGAACUGGAUUUAAGAACUGUUUUCGAACUGGAUUUCGCGGAUUUUAGCAGAUAAUUUAACAGUGCAGGAAUAUCUUUUUGUUACAAAAUUCUUUAUCGCCAGUUUUUACUUGGUUUUAUGAAUUCUUAUGGGUUAUCAUGCAUGCAAAAGAUUAAAGAGGUGUACGGCUUCACCUUUUUCUUUUAUUUGCUAUUCAUCUGAUUCGUGUAUGUUUUAGUCCUACCGUCCUAAAGCCAAGGCCACCUUGCUACACUUUUCGUUUGUCUGGAGAUAAUGGUGGAAAAGAUCAGAGCCGCUGUGGGAGCGUUUGGAUCGUCACGAGAAUAAUGGUCAAUGAGAAUGAGAAUGAUAUGAAAUUUCAAGAACCCCGAUACUCUUUAAUCAGACUAUUAAUCAUUAAUCAAUUGACCACUAUCAUAUAUCCAAUGCCUGGCACCCUUAAUUUUGUCAUAUACAUUUUGGAGAUAUUGUUUUAAUCUUUCCUCCGACAAGAGUGUUAUGCAUGUCAUGCCACGUGGUAUUUGGCAACCUUCGACACCAGCUAUAUAUCGGAGUUGCUAUUAAUAUGCUCUUUAGCUUUUUGUAUCGGUGUAUCCUCUUUGCAGAGACAUUGCUGAAUCAUUUGAUGGUACAUUUUAUGCACAAAAAGAGUGACUACAUUAGUCACCAAAAGAUGCUCCCCACAGGUGUAUGCUACUAUGCCAUAUAAGGCAUUCAGAACAGAACUUUAUACGUCGCCACAGACAUCUUUAUAUCUUGUCACCGAAGACAACUCCCAUUUUCGUUAUUAAUUUGUUCAAACAUAUCACUCUCCUCAUCUCUCGGUCUCACGGGAACUUCAGUUUCUCCGCUGCUAUGGAUAGAACUAUCGCUAUAAUUAUUCUUCUACUUUCUCGUGUAUUUCUCUAUACAAAUUUUUCUAUGAGAAUUCUCGGAGGUUGCAACUGUUCUUUAUGUUUCUCUGCACUUAUAAACCUGUCAACAAUUUCUGAUGAUUUAUUGUUUAUGCAGAGUUUGACAAAUCAGGAGCUUUCGAUAUGGAACUGCUAAACAAGGUAAUCUUAUAUACUUUAUCGAUUUUAUUAUAUAAUCAAGAACGAAGAUACACAGUAACUGUUAAGUUGGGACAGGAAAGAAAAAUUAUUUUAGCGAGUUUAUUAUUACUUGAUAGAGGUUCAACUGUAGUUUGUUUUCUUCAUAAUACUUCAGACUUUUAUGAAGGAUGACUAUGGCCGAAGAACAAAGUUGCACGAAGUACACUCAGGAUCCAAUCCUAUCAGCAAUUCUCUUCCUGUCAAGGGAACUGAGACAUGAUGGACAGGAAGAUCACCCAUCUAUCAGCUGUAUCUACUAUAAACAAAUUAAACUUGAAUUACUUUAUGAUCUGUUUGGUAAGUUGAAUUUCAUUUGAAACUAGAUUUGAUCAAUUGAUAUGUUUGGUUACACAAAAGAAGCUGUAUUUGAAUUUCAUUUGAAAUUCAUAACAUUCAAAUACCAGUAUAAAGUUGAGAAUUUGAAAUGACACCUCAAAUCAUGUCAUUUGAAAUGAAAUACAUGUUCUUAUGUGCUUAUGUGAAUCAAAAAAUUCUAAAAGAACAUUUUCAAUUGAUUGCACAUCCAACUUCUAGAUUAAUUCUGACAUGCACAGCCUGUUGAACUGAAAUCUUUGGCGUAAUUAUAUUUCUUAACCCUGGAUCAUGCAUCCAAAAGAGAAGCUAGAGAGAUUCCAUCAGAUUAAGAUGUUAUUUAUGAGUGAGAGUGAUUUCAAGCGGCAUUUAGGUCAUAAGUAGUGUGAAACUUGCAAAUGUUCAAACACUUAAGAAGGAUAUGAACUAUAACUCUAUGGAAAUUUUCUAAAAACUUAUAAUGCAUUAAUAUUUAAUCAUAAUCCAGCUCCAGCACAAUCAUAGCCAGACAUGUGGAAUAUAGGGCGUGGUUACAAGUUGCAGGUAACGUUAAGAGUCCAGCAAAUUCUUGUAUUAUUGGCUCAUCAGAUAUGCAUGUACCAAUUGUGAAGGGAAAUAGACAAUAGACCUCAUGACAAGUAAUCUCUACCCCAGAACAGCCUCAAUUCGGCAGAGGAUUAUUGUCGGUAUUCACAGUAGAAUAGUAGUCCCCUCAUCAAAGCGUUUCUUGCAUUCAAACCAGUUAACUCAGUUAACUCGCUUAGUAAUAUUAGAUCCUUGUUAUACUCCCCCGUCUCGUCUCGUCUCGUCUCGGUAUACUUGUUUCUUUUAACGAGUCAAAUUGAUUAUAUUUUGACUGAAAUUUUUAUGUAUUAUAUAAUUAGAAAAAAUAAAAAUGGGAUACCAUUGCAAAGUACGACUAGCCUAUUUUAAUUUUAUUUUUUAAAAUAACAAAAAUAUAUACAUUUGAAUAUUUAGUUAAAAAUUGGUCGAUUUGACUUCUAGAAAACUGAAAGUAACAUGUAAUUUGAGACGAAUGUAGUAUGUUUUAUGUUCUGCAGCUGUUUAUAAUUAUGCUCAUUAAUUUGUUCUCUUAAUUGUACUCUAAAAAGAUCUCUAAGAUGCUUUAGGAUUAACAAUUUUAUGUCACUCAGUAAAAAAAUUAUGACAUUUAUUCAAUAGCUCGAAAAACCGAGAUAGAGCUCAAACUAACCAGGAAUACAAAGCACUCAAUACAUGUAGGACUUGUUUUUAUUAGCUGCUAGCUUAGAUAAGUCAUAGAUGGAGUCACUCAGAAGAGAUGAUAAUCCUAGCUCCGCCAAUGGUAACUUUACCUUUGCCGGUUCUCGGAACCAAAGCCACCACCAGAGUUUCGUCACCAUCAGCAUCCAAAUCUUCCAGAAGCUCAUUAAUCCCGAAAGUAAGAGAAGCUUUUGUUCUUAACUUAGAUACGGAAGGUACAUUUGAAAACGUUCCAGCAAACUCUGCAUUGUUAGGUCCGCUCUCAAUCUCAUCUUCGUCAUUGAUAUAAACAUCAAAUUUAACAUACUCGUUUCCAUCAUACUCAAUUCCAUCUAUCACCAAUAUCUCCUCCGCGUCCUCCUUUUCCUCUUUGCUCCUCGACUUCUUAGGCCUUGGAACGGUCACUUUAAUCAAACCGUCCAGCACUUUGGGAAAGACCUCGUCCGCUUUGGGGAAGACUUCCGCAGCAUUCGCCACCCCGGCCUUCUUUCGAGGUGCCUUCCGUGGUGCCCGAGAGUUGAGCCAUUCGAGAGGAACUUUCUCGUAAUCGUAUCCCAGCUUCGAAGAAUCAAGACAGUCUCGAAUCUUGACUCUCACCAGCUUCUCGUUCUCAUCAUAGAACAGAAAAGCCGAGUCCAAAUAAUCAGUCUGAUCGAAAUCUUUGCGAUUUUUGCCCGGGAGGCGCUUCCAAAUAUUCCACAAUCUAUCCACAUUCGCAUGAUGAGAAUAGAAGAUUGGGUCUCGACCAGCCGAAUAGAAUCGUCCCAUGUCCUCUCCAUUAAUUUGGUUUCGGUCCCCCAUUAGUACGUGCACCGCGGUAUGUGGUUGUCUCUCUAUCGUCCCAGGUCCAUUAAUCUGAGCAUCUCCCCCACGGUAGACUUGUCCAAAGAACAAUGUAGGAGUCCUCGCACUCACCAUCGAUGUAUACAUCAAACUCUUAUUCGAUUCGAUAAGUUGCUUGCCGACAGGACUUACAUAGUUCGCCGCAUCCUUAUAAUCGUAGUUGAGAUCCAUCUUUAAUUGGCUAUCGUCAUUCCGUAGUUUAUCAUAGAGCGGAGAGUCCCGAUUGUUGAACAUGUCAGGAACCGAGACCCCGGCCUUCGCAUCCCAGUUCCAAUACGGUAUCGCAAAAUCCGGAUCCCCGAUGAGUUUUCCCAAUAUUCUCUCGUAAAAGUACAAGUACCAUCUGUGAAACGGGAAGAACAGCCAGCUGAAAUGGACGUCGAUUUUCGCAUUCGGGAAGCCAACCAUUUCGUAAGCGGAGUCACAAUAAGCGCAAUGAAUCGCAGCUUGUUGUGCGAAGCUAUGCGGAUGUUCAUUCGGCAGAGAUCUCAUAAUUUUCAGCGCCUUAUUAUACUUCUCAACAUACUUCCUGUUCGCCAAAUGAGCCGCUGGCCUAGUCCGCAAGGAUCUGUAUUCGGGCAGAACAUAAUCACUUAUGUUCGGAUUCGGGGGAGGGCAGCAUUUUUGAUCUUUCACGUUCGUGCAGCUCGGCAAAGUGCCUGCCGUGCUACAAUUCGUCGCGUCCACAGGUGCGGCGAACGCGUCUUGACGCACCGCAGCUGAACCGUAUAAGCCUCCCAGACCUACAAGCACAUCUCUCCGGUCCAAUUUAGACUCGCUCCGCGCCUUGUUCUCGUCUUCUUGUUCUUUGGCAGCUCUGCAUGACAAUGUUUUCCUAAAAUUUAUAUGUUUACGGUUUGGGCGGUUUAACAAAAACCGGGUGGCUGAGGAUUUUUCGGCUGCGGUAGAAUUUGCGUAAAAAUGUGAAGUGCAGGUUGGUAACUGAAGAGAGGCCAUGGCUAAGAUGUUAUAACAUAAUACAAUGUUUAUUUAGAGUCUUCUAGGUAUGUGAAGAGUCGUUUGAAGUUUCUUUCGAGUGCCCUAGGGUUAUAUAGCAAGCUUUUCCCACGUGCUUGUAAAAACCAUUAUUGUGUAAUGGAAAUCUUGUAGUUCUAACAUGAUUUUUAGUUUGAAUGCGGCAUAAAAUGAUAUGAUAAUUGAGAUUGGAUGUUAUAAUUGAUAUAAUUUAUAUGAAUAAAGAGGUCCAUUUCAAUUAAAGAUCAACCCAUCACAUUUUAUUAAAAAAAUUGUACUCCCUUCAUCUCAUCUCAUUUUAAGUGUCUUGUUUGACUUUUGAAUAGUUAAAUUGAUUAAAUUUUGAUUAAGAUUUAUACAUAUAGUAUAAUUUUUAAAAGUAAAAAAAAUUAUGUCAUUAUAAAGUACAUAUGAUAUACUAUAAAAUGUAAUUAUAGUUUUUUAAAAGAAUAACGAAUUUGUUUUUUAUGUUUCGUCAUAAAUUGAUCAAUUUGACCGUUGAAAGUCGAAACAUGACGUUUAAAAUGAGAUAGAAGGAGUACUAAUUUUAUAUAUUUCUCAGUUUUCUUUUUAGUUUUUACUUAAAAUGAGCAUGUAUCACAUUGUUGGCCGUGUAUCACAUUGGUACGUCGUAAUGUCUUUUCUGGGAGGAUACGGUUGUCAAAUUGAAAUGGUUCUUGUUCACUCACGGGAAAUUUCUGUUUCUUGCGGUCCUACUCUUGUUUGAUGCUUCUUUAUUUCUUCUGAAACUUUGUUUGAUUCUGUUUACUGAUAUUUCUCAUAUUUUUUUCUUAUAUGACAUGGAUGAAUUGCACUGUAAUUUAGCGUAAACUAAGCGAACUAGUUUAUGUCAUAAUUUUAAAGUGAGAAUAUUAGCUUUAGGUGAUGGAUUCUCUUAAAAUAUUAGUGAAGUUUUUUUAGCUUAACUAUGAUACACAUAAAUUUGAUUUUCAUUUUUGUAACAAGAAAAAUUUUUUACUCCCUCCGUCCCUAUUUAGUUGUCAUAUUUCUAUUUUUAUCGGUCAAAUUGACUACUUUUUGACCAAAAAUUAUAAUUCACUUUUUCAUUAUUUUAAAAAACUGAAAAUUACAUCCUAAAAUAAAUAAAAAGUUGUUUACGAUGACAUAUUUUUAUAUUUUUUUUAAUUGAUAAAAUAUUAAUAAAUUUCAGUUAAACUUUGAUCAAUUUGACGAGUACAAACUCAAAUGUCAAAACUAAAAAAGGAUGAGGAGGAGAGAGUAAUUACUCUCGCAUCGGCUUUAAUGUAUGUUAUCACUAUUCUAUGUCAUAAACUAAGCGAACUAAUCUAUGUCAUAAUUUUAUACAGUGGACUCCGAAGUGAACGCUUCCACAGUUCACGUUCACCCAAAGGUGGGAAUAUUAAUCUAUGUAGCAAAGCCAGCAAACAUAUGUAAGGGGGGCCAAAAAAAAUUUCUUCCAUACAUUAAAUUUUUUCAUCAGCACUGUAAAAUAUUCAUUAUAAAAUAAAUACAAAAAUACUAGUAAAAAAAUUAUAGUAGAGCUUGCGUUCUUUUAAAUCAGGAAAUCAAAUUUAUAAUUGUGUCAGGAAAUCAAAUUUAUAAUUGUGUCAACAAAAAUUAUAACUGUGGUACGAUAAAUGUGGGUUAUUGUAGUAAAGUAAAUUUAUAUUAUAUUAAAAAUUAUAUUUUACAUGUAAUAUUAUUUUCUAUUGCACAAUUAAAAUCCAUAUAAAAAAUAAUUUUUUAUAUCUAUUAUUCAAAUAAAUUUAUUUAAUAUUUGGAGUUAGCAAAUUUAUUAUAUCGAGUUUGAAAAAAAUAUUUUUAUUAUAUCUUGUAUGGUUUCUUCUUGUUUUAAAAUAAUAGGAGAAGUCUUUGUGUUUGAAUAGAAUUAGGGGGCAAAUGUUAAUCAAUCAUUAUAGAUUAAUAUUUUAUUGAUAACCUUAAAUUUUCAAAUAUAUAGUUGCAAAACGAUAUUUUUAAAUUAUAUUUUACAUGUAUUAAAAUAUAUAUUGUAUUAAAUAUGAAAUUAUGUAUAUGUGUAUGUAUGUAUGUAUGUAUGUAUGUGUGUGUGUCUAUAUAUAUAUAUAUAUAUAUGUAUAUAUGUAAAUAUUAAUGAUUUUUUUUCAUAUGAUACCUCUUUUUUUUCAAAAAAAAUCCCUUAUGAUGGAAGAAAAAAAAACCUCUUUUUUAAAUAAAUGAUUCUUUUGAUAACGAUACCUCUAUUUCUUCGGAAGAGCUCUUUUUAUUUACAUAAUUGAUAAAUUAUUCAAAUUAAUCUUACUGGUCUAGAAAAAAAUUCUUAAUAAAGAAACCUCAAUAAAAUCUUAAUUAGAAGAUAUUAAAGUAUAUAUUUUAUUAAACAUAAAAAAGAAUAUAUAUAUAUAUAUAUAUAUAUAUAUAUAAUGCAUCUAAAAUAAAUUAUAAAUAAUUUAGUAACUUAAAUUAUAAGUAAGAAAUUAUCCGCCUCUUAUAAAAAUUUUCUUGGCGACUUCUAAAAAUUUAAAAUAGAUUUAAUGUAAGUAUUUUUCACUAUAAUAAUAUCAAUCUUAAUAAUCAACUAAAAAUUGUAGUAAUAUAAAGGUGAAUCGAUCAGAGUAGUAAUAUUUUAUUGAAUAAACAUAUUUUCAAAUAUAUAGUUAAAAAUAAUAUUCAUAAAUUAUAUUUUACAUGUAAUAUUUUAUUGAAUAAUUAAAAUAAAAUCAUAUAUUUUAUAUUUACUAUUCAAAUAAAUUUAUAUAAUAUCCUGAGUUAAUAAUUUUAUUAAACUAAUUUCAAAUAAAAUAAUGCUAUAUAUCUUGUAAAAUAUAUUUUAAUUUCGAAAUAGUAGUAGCAGAGUUUGUGAUUGAAUAGUAAAAAUUAAUAUUUUAUCGAAAAACAUGUAUUUUCAAAUAUAUAUGUUGGGAAUAAUAUUUAUAAAUUAUAAUUUACAUGUAUUAUUAUUUUCUAUCGAACAAUUAAUAUCUACAUAAUAAAAUAAAAUACAUUGAUAUAUUUGCGAUUAUCUGAUAUAGUAAAUUAAUAUUUUAUUAUAUAAAUAAAAUUUUCAAAUAUAUAAUUGAAAAAAUAUUUGUAAGUUAUAUAUAAUAUUAUUUUUAUCGAACAAUUACAAUCUAUUAUGUAAAAACUAAAAUAUAUUUGAUAUAUAUAUUAUUUAAAGAAAUUUAUUUAUACAUAAAGUUAACAAUUUUAUUAUGUCAAGUUUAAAAAAACAAUUUUAUUAUAUAUUAUAUAUUUUCUUUUUGUUUAGAGUUGUAGAAUUAUUUUCAUUUCAAAUCAGUAAAAUUAGGAAAUAGCCUAAAUAGUAACCGCUAUGCUCUAGUAACUGGUCCACACAUAAAGCACGUCUUCCUUCUCCAUCACUUGCACACUCCAGGAAUUGUGAAAAGGACCUUGCAAAGUUAGUAUCAGGGACGAAGCCAGCAAACAUCCACAAGGGGGGCCAAAAAAAUUUCUUCGGCACACUAAAAUUUUUCGUUAACGCAAUAAAAUAUUCAAUAUAAAAUAAAUACAAAAGUACUAGUAAAAAAAAAUUAUAGUAAAACUUUGCGUUCUUUUAAAUCAAGAUAUCAAAUAUAUAAUUGUGUCAACUAAAAUAUUUAGCUAUUUAUCUUCAAAUAUAUAUAAGUAUAAAAUGAUCGGGAAACUCAUCAUAAUAACUCUAAGUUAUACUGUAAUCUUUAAUUAGCAAUUAAUACACAUUAAAUGAAAUUAUAUUAUGAAUAGAAGCAAGUAAAAUUUUAACAAUACCUCAAAAACUACAUAUUAUGCCUAUUAACCUUACAAAAACAACAUAUGAUUAUUUAGAAGAUGACAAGUUAUAGUUUAAACAAGUAAAAAUGUUACUUGGAUGAUGAAAUUUGAAUUGACGAUGAGUAAAAUCAAUAUUAAUAUUAAUAUUAAUUAAAAAACUGAUAAUACACGAGGACUAAAUCUAUUUUACGAUAAUGAGAAGUGAGGUAUAAGUUUCUGAGACCUCCACCAAAGAUUCUUGUUUUUUUAAAAGAACCAUAUUGAUGUUUAACUUUAUCACAUAUUACAUUCUACAUUUUUUUAAAAAUAGUAUAAUUGUAUGUAUAUCCAUAUUUUUGUUUGUUUUUAUUUUUAAAUUCGGUCUAAUACAUGAAUUAGAGAAAUCUAAGAAUUAAAAUGUUAUUUUACAAUGUUAAAUAUUUUUUAGGAGCGAACAGAUAUUUUUUUUAGGGGGGCCAAAUUUUUAUAUUUAUAUAAAUAUGUAGAUAAAAUACAAUUUUUUCAAAAUUAUAUAACACAAAUUAUAACAUUAUGGAAACCCUAGGGGGGGCCAUGGCCCCUUGUGGCCCCUAUGUAGCGAUGUCCCUCCUAUGUAGUUUUUAUUGUUGCCUGUAUCCUUGCGCAAGGACCCGAGAUCCAUUUGAAUUUCAAAUUUCACAAGAAAUAGUACGGUAUUUAUCUUAAAUGCCAUAAAAUCACAUGUGAAUGUCUAUCAUGUCGGUAAUAAUUUACUUCGCUUGUAUACUGGGUGUGGAGUCUGUGGACGCAUAAAUUAAUGAUCUGUUUCAAAGUGCAGUUAAAAAUUAUUGUGGUAUCAGUAAAAAUGUUGAUAAAAGAUAUUAUAAAAGUAAUUUCUGAAUAUAUAUAUAUGUGUGUGUAAAAUAAAGAUAUUGUACGUAAGUAUUAAAUUAUGGAUAUUCUAUUCAUGUUUUAUUGAAUAUAAAACUUUGCAGAAAAAUAGAGCUGUCAGCAGUGUUCUAAAAGUCGGCGAUUAAUCGGGAUUAAUCGCCGAUUAAUCGUUGUUCGGUCGGUCACCGUCUCGAUUAAGCGUUAAUCGGUGAAAAAAUCGUUUUUUCUGAAAAUCGGGAUUAAUCGGUCAAAAGUCGGGAUUAAUCGGAAAAAAUCGGUCAAAAAUCGGUGAAUUUAAAAAAAUUUAAAAAAAAGUGAAAAAAUUUUAAAAUUUUAAAUUUAAUUUUAAAUAAAAUAAAAGGCACCGAAAGACAAAACACAUAAAUUAAAUUUGUUUUUAUUACCUUUCACUCUUUUAAUAUUAACUUCCAAACUCUAAUUACUUAAAUUUGCAAUAUAUAUUCCUUAGCAGAUUGAAUCAAAUAUAUGAGAUGACUAGGCUUGUAUAUGUAUAUAAAGGCAUGUUUUGGGUUAUAAAAAAUCAUUACUCUUUUGAUUUUAUAUGAUUAUAAAUUUAUACUAUAUAUAAUUUUAUAAAUAUAUAUAUAUAAUUUAAAAAUAAUAUUAAAUUGAUUACGAUUAAUGAUCCGAUUAAUCACUCCGAUUAAUCUCCGAUUAUCCGAUUAAUCGCUGGACGGUGCCCUCACCGACUAAGUCCGAUUCCCGCUUUUUACAACACUGGCUGUCAGUAUGAUUGCAAUUUUCUGCUUGAAGAGUAUGAAUUUUCUUUCUUACUCCCUCUGUCCCUCUCAUUUUUUUACGGUUACUAUUUUGGGAUGUCACUCUCAUUUCUUUACGUUACUAUAAAUAGUAAGUUUUUUCAUCAUUACACCCACUAUUUUCCUCCCACUAUCUCAUAUUUAACAAUAAAAACUACUAUUACACCCACUACUUUCCUCCACUAUCUCAAAUCUAUUAUUAAAUAUUGAUGGGUCCCACCACUUUACUCAUUUUUCAUCUAACUUUACUCAUUUUUCAUACAUUGUCUUGGUCUCCGUGUCCCCCUCCAAUGUAAACAAUUGAGGGGGACGGAGGGAGUAUUGUUCUUCUAUCUCGUCCACGUUUUAUAUGAUAUUAUCCCUGCAAUGCCCACUUAAAUUCAUGUCCAUCUCUGUAAUGUGAAAUGCAUCUCGAUCCAGCUGCAGGAGCCCAAUUGGUCUCCAAUUAUUAUGUUUUCAAAUAUUAUAAGCCUGUUAUAUCUGGUCCGGUUUCUAUCUAGUCCAGUUACGAUUUGGAGUCCACGUUCGUUUCAUUAUCCAAGGUUUCUUAUUUUUUGAUAAUACUCUCUAAUUUUUACAAACACUAUCCAUAUAUUUGUAUAUAUAUGGUAGUGUUUUUCAUACAAUUAGAAUAUUAGUCCCUUCAUUUCAAAAUAAUAAUUAUUGAUUAUUAUAUAUUUUUACACAUAAUAUGAGAUGACAAAAAUAUUUCUAUAUAUCAUUUUCAAAAUUUCUCUUUUUGAUAAAAUUAUAAAUAUUAAUUUUAGGAAAAUAUUUAUAUUAACAUAUGUUUUCCAUAAGUAAAUAAUUUAUUUUUAAAAAUAAAUAUACUGUAAAGAAAUGGGAGGGACAGAGGGAAUAGUGAUUAAAAUGAUAUGAUGAAUAGUAGCUACAUGUAAUUAGCUCAAUAUUUUACUAUAGUUGAGUCCAACUGCAUUAAAUUAAUUCUGGAAUAUGUUGUCUCUACUGUUUGGAACGUAGCAUAUAUAGAUCAUGCCGCAAAGAAUUACAAGAAUAGUUGUGUAAAGAUAGGCAGCUCUGAGGAUUAAGAGCUGAAGAAGAGUCAUAGCUAUAGCUAUAUGUAAUUAAGAGGUUAAUUAGUGAAAGAAAUUUUUUUGAACGAAAGAAACUCCUCGGAGUAUUGGCGUUUUAUCGAUACGAGCAAGUGAAUUUUUUGUAAAAAAAAAAAAGUUAAUUAGUGAAGAUUCAUCUAAAUGUCAUGUGCUAUAUACAGCAAGUCUGAAAAUAUUCUAACCCUGGCUCCCAUGUACAUGCAUGCCAUCACCUUAAUUCCUUCCUAAUUAUAUCCAAGUUCUUUUAAAAUACCGCAGAGAAUUUGUACGAAAAUUAAAAACAAAGUACAUAUAUAAGCAAAUCACUAACUAGAUUAGAAUUGUACUCCUACAGUCUUAAACUGUCCAAAAGCUCACCAGCCCAAAUUAAUCACGUCGGCUGGGCACCCUUAACUACACUUUGGUCGAACGAUUUAACGACUAAUUAAUUAUUGUAGCAGGUCAUAUUUCAUUUGACCACACAGCUCACCUCUUAAUAAACUACAAAAUACAAUUACAUUAUAAUAAAACGAUAACCAACAUGUGCAAACCCGUAAACCACUCCACCUUACAUGUGUCAACCCUCUGCAGGUAAAAAAAAAUGUUUCUAAAUUUCUAGUUGUAAACUUUAGUUGUUAUUAUGUACUUCCCCUUGAGAGGGACAACUUUUUCACGAAUUUUAUUUAGUUAAAUAUAAUUUAUAAAAAAAUGCAAUUUAAAUUGCAGAUAUAUAGUCAAAUCUCUUGAACAUGCAUGCAUGAAAAAAUAUGUAAAAAAAGUUCAAAUAACUUUAUCCUAGAAAAAGUAUAAACUAAUCGGAAAUGGUAAGAUUACAAUAAUCAAUAUAUAAAUAAACAUGUAAAGAACAGAAAAUGAUACUUUUAUUGAUACCACAUGCAAUUCAAACUGAACACAGGAAAGACACUGAAGUAGUACUUGUUCACACACAAAACAGUGCUUAUUCAAAACACAAAGCUCAAACAGGAUAAAAACAACUCAUCAACUCAAGAAGAGAUGAUAAUCUUGGCGCCGCCAAUGGUGACUUUGCCUUUCCCGGUUCUCGGAACCAAGGCCACCACCACAUUGUCGUCGUCAUCGGCACCAACGUCCUCCAGAAGCUCGGUUAUCCCCAAACUCAUGGACACUUUCACUCUAUUGUUUGAUAUGGAUGGUACAUUUGAAUAUGAUCCCGCAAACUCUGCAUUGUUAGGUCCGCUCUCAACCUCAUCUUCGUCGUUGAGAAACACAUCAAAUUUGACGUACUCGUUUCCAUCGUAUUCAAUUCCAUCGAUCACGAGGAUCUCCUCUGCGUCCUCUUUCUCCUCCUGGCUCCUCGACUUCUUCGGCCUGGGAAUUGAGACUUUGAUUAGGCCGUUCAAUACUUGGGGAAGGACUUCACUAGCAUUCGGAAAGACCUGAGGAGCUUCGGCUGCAUUCGCGACCCCUGCCUUGUUUCCGCGGCCCUUGCCUUUACCCUUAGCUUUCGGGGGAGGCCGAGAGCCGAGCCACGGAAGAGGAACGUCCUGGUAAACAUACCCCAUCUUCUUCGUAUCGACACAGUCCCGGACCUUGACUCUCACGAGCUUCUCAUUCUCGUCGUAGAACAGAAAAGCCGAAUCCAACCAGUCCGGAUCGUCGAUGUCUUUGCGGUUUUUACCAGGGAGCGUCUUCCAAAUAUUCCACAUUCGGUCCACAUUCGCAUGAUGCGAAUAGAAAAGCGGAUCUCGACCCGCCGAAAAGAAUCUCCCCAUGUCCUCACCAUAUUUCUGCUCGGGAUCACCGGUCCAUAUGUGCAGCUGAGUAUGCGGCUGGUUCUCAAUUGCCCCGGCCGCUUUCACCUGCGCUUCUCCCCCGCGGUAGGCUCCCCCGAAGAACAGCUCAGGAGUCUUGCUGCUCGAAACCAUCUGAUUAUACAUCACUUUGUAAUUCGCCUGGAUCAAUUCGUCACCUACAGGACUCGGAGUCGACUUGCUAUAGUUUAGAUCAAUUUUAAGCGGCGGCUGAUGAUUAUCAUCUCGCAACUUAUCAAAUAGUGGAGAGUUGUGAUCUGCAAACAUAGCCGGGAUCGGCAUCCCAUCAGGCGAAUCCCAGUUCCAGUAGGGAAUCGCGAAAGUAGGAUCACCGAUCAAUUUCCCCAAAAUCUUCUCGUAAAAAUGCAAGUACCAUCUAUGAAACGGGAAGAACAACCACGAGAAAUGCACGUCCAUUUUCACAUUCGGAAAGCCCACCAUCUCAUAAGCCGAGUCGCAAUAAGCGCAAUGAAUCGCCGCUUGCUGCGCGAAGCUAUGAGGAUGGUCUUUCGGCAGAGAUCGCAUGAUCUUCAUCGCUUUGUUAUACUUCUCUAUAUAUUUGUUAUCCGCCAGCUGAGCUGCUGGCCUAACCCGCAAGGGCUGAUUAACCGGAAGUACGUAAUCAGUUAUAUUCGGAUUCGGGGGAGGGCAGCAAUUCGCAUCUUUUAUGUUCGUGCAUGUCGGCAAAGUGUCUGCAUUGCCGCACUUGGUAGCGUCCACCGGAGCCGCGAACGCCGCCUGACUCACGGCGGUUGUUCCAUACAGACCUCCGAGACCAAGCAGAAUGUCCCUCCUGUCGAACUUUCCUCCCUCCACAUUCUGGAAGCUUCUAGAUUUGCUCCUAGCAUCUUCUUGGCUACCAUCACUCUCCUUUGCGGCUCUGCAUGACAGGUUUUUCGAGAAGAAACGGUUGCGUUUUUGGUGGUUCAAGAACAAUUGGGAGGUGGAGGAUUUGUCAGUAGUGUUGGCGUUGGUGUGAAGAUUGGCAGCUCUGAGUGGUAGGUACUGCAAAGAAGCCAUGACUAGUUGGUGUGAAGUUUUCUGUCGAUGGCUUAGGGUUUAUAUAGCAGCGAAGUCGUGGAUCUCGAUAAGUUUUCAUACUUGAUUGAUCACUGUAAUUGUUUAUGACAACAUGUGUUAAUUGCUCAAACUAUAACUGUCUCGAUCUAAAUCAUGCAGCGCAAUUAACAGGAUAUGGGUACCAGAAAUAUCAAAUUGAAUACAAAAUUUGAUGUGACAGUUUAUAAUGAUUUAAUUAAAAAUUAAUACAUAUCCAGAUAUUGAUAUAUUAUAUAUAUGAUUUAUUAUUGCUAUUUAAAUUAUUAGUAAGAUUAUAAUUAUUUUUAGAGUAAACUUUAAAGUUGUGGCAAAAGUUUACACCGAUUUUUAAAAAAUUAGUCAGAGUUUCAAAUUCUCAAAAAGAUGACCAAACUUUGGCUCCGCUUUUUAAAAGUGUGGCUCCCGUUAAAUGUCACUAACGGGAGCCUAACAGCAGCCACAUUUUUGAAAAGCAGACCAAAAUUUGGCCACUAUUCUGAGAAUUUGGAAAGAAUAUAAAGAUAAAAAUGAGUUUCAAAUUCUCAAAAAAGUGACCAAACUUUGGUCCGUUUUUUAAAAUGUGGCUCUCGUUAGGCUCCCGUUAGUGACAUUUAACGGGAGCCACACCACACUUUUAAAAAGUGAAGCCAAAAUUUGGCCAUCUUUUUGAGAAUUUGGAAUUCUGACCAACGUUUUUAAAAUCGAUGUAAACUUUGGCCACAAAAUUUGCUCUUAUUUUUAAUUACAUAAUUUAUAUACAUACAUGAUUUUUUAUUAUUAGAGUAAUAGAGUUAGUGAAAUCACGUGCCGUUUAAUAUUAUUUCAUAUCCAAUUUGUUACCUCUAACAUUUUGCUUUAAAAUAAUCCACCUCUGCAUGCGUUCAUAAAUAAAAUAAAAUAAUCUUACUCUGCAUGCCAAUAGAAGCCAUCGCACGUGAAUCUCACUUAAAAAGCAUAAGAAAAUCAGAACUCAUCGGUUCGAUUUAGAAAGGUACUUCAAUUUUAAGUAUUUAUAUUACAUUUUUUAUUAUCUGAUUGAGUACUGUAUCGUGUUAAGCGCAAUGCAUGAUAAAUCUUAAACGUGGUUUAAAUUCUUUACCAAGUCUUUAAAUGAUUGAAUAAAAAUAAUUAAUAUUAAAUUCUUUACCCAGACUUUAAGUGAUUGAAUAGAAAACAAUAUCGCUACAUUAAACAUGCUACGUUUUGACAUUACAAAAAGAUAUGAUAAGAUAUCAUUGGUGGCUUUCAAUUUUUCCGUUGCAGAAGAUUUUGUUUAUUUAAAGUCUCACCUAAUACAUAUCAGUUGUCGGAUCUAUGAAUAAUGAACUUAAUAAUUAAUUAAGCUGAGUAACAAAAAUUUUAAAAAAAAUCAAAAAUAAUAUAAAGUGAUCAGCGCAAAUCUUUUUAUCACAUUCUACUUAGAUUAAAUAUUUAACUAAUAUCAUAAAUAAAAAUAAUAAUCUUCUAUAUCACAACAUUUAAUAACAAAUUUUUAUAAUUGUCACAUAAUACAGCAAUCAUUCAUUCAGUAAACAUCUUUAUACACAUAGUUUUCUCCAUGGUGCAGGGCCGAAUUUUAUUUUUUUAUUUUUAGAAAAUACUUUGUUUUAGUAUAAUAUGGGGUAGUUGGCUGGAUUUUUAAACUAGAUCUUUAUUUUAUAAACGAGAAACGAAGUAUUUGGAUUAUUUAUGUAAUAAACUGAUUAGUUAGCUUCUAUUAAUUUGAGAAUGAAAUUUUCAACUUGUUUUACUUAUUUUAGUUUUUUAAAUUUGACUGUUAAAAAAUAUAUAUAAUUUAAAUAAUAAUUAUUUUAUUUUCUUCCAUUUAAUCAAAAUAUUUAUAUUUAGAUUGGAUUGGGAGAUGGAGAAAGUGAGUAAAAGAAAAAGAUAAGUGUGCAGAGUCGAACCGAUGAUAACGUAUAAACAAAUUAUAACAAUAUAGACAAAGAAACUAGGAGAUUAGUCAACCUGCUAUAUUACCAAACUAAUUGUUUUUUAUAUUACAAAUGCAUGUACAAAUUGUUACUUUAAUAUCCUUGCCGAAAAAUAUUAUUUUGAGCUCAAUAUUUUGUAAAAGUAAUAAAGAGGGCUUUUCAUCCAAUUACUUUUUUUAUAUUGUGGAAGAGUACUUAAAAGUUGAUUAAAUUAGUUAAAUAAAUUUUAAUAUCUCAAAUUAGAUUAAUAAGUUAACUCUGCUCAUGUAAUUUGUACAAUAUUAAUCAUUAAAUUCUAUAUUUACUUUCCUAAAUAUAAAUUAUAUAAUUGUUUGUUUUAUUUGUACAAGAUAUAUAAAUUCAUCUGAUUUAGAAUGAAAGAAACAUGGAGACAAAGAAAAUUUUGAAUGCAUGGAUCAUUUAGACGGGGAGUCGUCUAUAAUUCUCAUAUAUCUUCGAACCUUUCUCCAUUUAGCAGAAACUUUUAAAUAGGCAUAAAUUUUAAACUAAAUAAUUAACUUUUUCGAAAAGUUUGUACCGUCUUACCUUACUCGUAACUAAAUUUUCCGAAAAGACAUGGUUACGCUUUUGGUGUUUCAAAAACUGCGGUGGUGUCGGUGUAAAGAUGGGAAGCUCUGAGUGGUAGGUGUUGCAGAGAAGCCAUGACUAGUUGGUGUGAAGUUUCCUCACAAUGUGUUAGGGUUUAUCGAACACUCUAAUUAUUUACGAUAACGUAUGUUAAAUUGUUAAUUGCUCGUAAACUAUAACGUGUCUCGAUCUAAACCAUGCAAUUUAAUUAAUAAUAAUCCUAUGCAGCGUACGUACCAGUGUCAUUAUCCGAAUCAUGGAAUCCGAUCUUCUAAUAAAAUUAAGAACACCGUUCCAUCUAUUUUUUAUUUUGUAUAUGAGAUUAAGCUCGGUAAAUCUUAAAGAUUUGUGUAGAUCCUGUACCUAAUAACCGAUUCUUUAAAUAAUUGAACAGAAAAUAAUGUCGAUCGAUUAAAAUACUAUAUUUCGACACCGUGGAUAGAUCUGAAACGUCGCUUGAUUAAUUUCUCCGUGCCGAGGAUUUUAGUGUGUGAAGUCUCCCCUAAUUAUAGCACACGUGUCUCAUCUAUAAUCUAUAAUAUUUUAAUAAGUGACAAAUUACUCGUUAAUUAAGCUUAGUAAAAGAAAAGGUCAGCAAUCAAUAAUUAAAUUCAGGAGCCUCAUCAGUUUGCCUGUCUUUCAGCAGCUACAGAAGGUUAUAUAUAAUAAUAUUUGUCACUUCCGAUUUUUCUUCAUUUAUAAUUUAUAUAAUUUUGUGAUUUAUUUUAAUAAAUAAAUCAUAAUUUAGAACAUAGAUGAGAAAUCGAGUGCAUAAAUCAAACUGAAUAAAUCUAGAGUAUACAGUUCUUGACAAGUUUAGAUGUACUUAUAUUAAAAGUUUUUUUGGAAACCCGAUUUAGCACAUGACAGAUAUUAUAGUAUAAACUCUAUUAUAAAAGUUGACAAUAUUUUUUAUUUUUGAAAAAAAAGUUGACAAUAUUUUAUAUUUAAAUAAUUGACAACUUGAAAUUCCUUAAAGAAAAAACAAUAUUUCUGAGGGUGUACAUAAAUGUGCCAAAGAUAAAACUAUCAGUACGUUAUCCGGUGAUUGCGAGAUCCAAUACAGUCUCCAUCUAGAAGUCUAUUUUAUAGAUAAAUAUUAAAUAGAUUCACGAGCAUGGAUAUUAAAUUUACAAAACAUUAAGUUAUCAGGGUCAGCACUCUAUCUAAGUCAGAAUUUCAACAUGGAGUCCUGGGCGUCAGAAAAAACACUUUAAAUUGUUGACAGGACGGUAUUUAUUCACUUAUUUUACAUCAUAUUUAAUAUUUAAUGUUUAUACUUAUCUAAAUUUUUGGUAAUUAUAAUGCUUCAUAUGGAUGAGGGUAUAUUUGAUCCGGACAUUUUUUUUUCGAAAAUUGUCUCGUAUAUCUGUCAGUCAACGUCAAAAUGAUUAUUAUUUCCAAAAAUAAUUUGCUGAAAACUCCGGCAUGGAAAAUCUCUACUCAAAAUUUGUUAGUACUAAACAAUUUAACGGUUGCUUUUGGCCCUAUUUUUUAUUUAUCAAUCCAGCUCUAAGAAAUGAGGGUCGUUAAACAAACAGGCCUCAAGUCGGAAGCCCAGCUGCCAACCCAAAGACCCGCAUAUGAAAUCGCUGGACUAGAAGUACAUAAGGUCCAACCAAACCUUCCCAAUAUUGAUAGGCACGAGAAUGAGUAACGUUUUAUAUUUAUUUCGUAUUAUUAUAUUUUAAUAUUCAACUUAUUUAUAUUUAAAUCACUUAUAGAGAUGAAUUUAGGUCAGAGUUUUUAGGCUUCAAGUUUAUUAAAAAGUUUAGAGCUAUUAACCAAAAAACCUAACUAACUUGUCAUUUUUUUUGCUAAAAAACCUAUAGACCUUUUUUUCACCAAUAACCCCAAUAAACUUUAUUAAAUUUUUGAAAAACAUUUAACUAGAGUUACUUAUAGCUGAUGUGGACUAAUCAUGCUCAUAACAUAUCCUAUGUGGUAAAUUGAUUACAGUUAAUCAAAAAAAAUAAUUGAAAAAUAUAUCAGCACCGCUAAAAUCAGCUUUAAGAUGGUUGAUCAGCAGCUCAUUAAGACAGGGAAGUAAUAGGCUCUCAUUCAAACAAUGAACAGACUGAGACUUGCUCUGCCGCAAUAGUUAUAGCGACUGAAGGCGCGGUGGCAUUCCAUCCCCCUCAUUUCUACGUGGUUGAUUUUCUAUGUAGAAAAAAUGUAUCUUAUGGUGUAUAUUAAUGUGUGAACCUUACUUAGCUACUCGAGCAUAAACAAUUAACCAAGUUUUCAGGUGCAGCUGUGCAGCACAUCAAGCAGCAGAAUGGAAACUCUGAAUUGAGUAAGACAUAUUUUAACCACUUAGCACAAACAAUCCACCAAAAUACAAACAAAUUACUCAACCAAAAAAUUCUAAAAAAAUUAGUCGCCUGAGACACCCCAAGUCCCAACCAAACCUCCGGUGAACUCAGGAAAACAUAAAGUUCUAUCUCCUUAAUUUUGUAUUGAAUGGAAUCAGAAAUAACACCCCAUCUGCUAAUCUUUUCACAUACCAUCUGAUUACGUCAAAAUGAUAACCCCAUUAAUUUAUUUCGAACAUCAACUCAGCUUUUACAAUAAUCUGCUAAUAUCACACAUCUCCACUUGUUUUCAUUUUAAUUUUUAAAUCUAAACUAACAAAUAUCAUAUUAUAAAUCAUUCCUAUUAAUGACUAUAAGCGCUAUGUGGCACAUACAUGUAUAAAAAGAUGCAAAUCAGGGAAAGAUACACGACAAGUCACAUUGGUAGAUUUAACCAUGGUUUAUUUUAUAUUUAUUUUUAUACUUUUAGUAAAGUUUAUUGAGGUUGUUAAAGAAAACAGAAGUUUAAAGGUUUUUUGACAAAUAAUUGACAAGUUGAUUGGGUUUUUUGGUUAAUAACUCAAAAGUUUAUGUAUAUGUUAAAAUUUAUAUGCUUUAUGAAUUGUCGACAACAAUUUUAUAAUGAUUUUUUUAACCGAAAAAUAAUAGAUUCUUUACAACCCAAAACAAGUGCGAAGAAUGUCAUUAUCAUUUUGAAACGAAGGAAAGCUACAUCAUUCAUUAUUUAUAUUUAUUAUUUAUAUCUGUCCAAAAAUCUAAGAAGAAAUCACGAUACUAACGCUGCCAAUAUUGACUCUACCCUGGCCAGUUCUCGACACCAAAGCCACCACAAGAUUGUCAUCAUCCUCGGCUCCCAAGUCCUCCAAAAGCUCACUUAUUCCCAAACUCAACCGAGUUCUCACCUUCUUGCUCCUCGUCGCCGAAGGCACAUUCGAAAACGCCCCCGCAAACUCCGCAUUGCUAGGUCCGCUCUCGGCCUCAUCUUCGUCGUUCACAAAAACAUCAAACUUGACGUACUCGUUUGCAUUGUAUUCAAUCCCUUCGAUCACGAGUAUCUCCUCCUCGUCUUCCUUCUCUUGUUUACUUCUCGACUUCUUGGGCCGUGGCACCGUGAAUUUGACGAACUUGUCGAGCACGCUAGGGAAGAUUUGGUCAGCGUUCGGAAAGACUUUAGGGUUCGAGGGUGCAGCAUUUGUUAGCUUGGUAUUAUUUGUGGCAAUGUAUGAGGCUCCUGCUAGACCAAGAAGCACGUUUCUUCGAUCGAAUUUCAAGAUACUUUGAGUGUUGACAUUUUUAGACGUGAGAUCAGUGGUGGUUUUGUGAUCUUGGUUGGCCUUUAGGGUUGAUAAUGAUUUUCUGAUGUGGGAAUUAUGGUUUGUGUUUUUGUGGAGAUGUGGGAAUUGGAGAGGAAGAAUUGUAUUCAUUUUGUUGGGUUUUUUUUGUUGAAACAUUGGCUACAUUUUAUAGCAAAUAAUAUUUAAAGUUUCUUUUUUCGGUUUGAAAUUAAAUUUUGAAGCAUAAAGUCAAUGCGUAUCUAUCCAUCUAAUUAACAGGAAAUGU
RNAcentral lists this long non-coding RNA (28225 nucleotides) under Daucus carota (carrot). Its description in RNAcentral is "long non-coding RNA (DCAR_LNC003965)". Lineage: Eukaryota; Viridiplantae; Streptophyta; Magnoliopsida; Apiales; Apiaceae. The record is from RNAcentral.